AUAACAAUACAGGACUCUUUAGAGGCCCUGUAAUUGUAAUGAGUCCACUUGAAAUCCUUUAACUCUGAUCAAUUGGAGGGCAAGUCUGGUGCAGAGCGACUGACCCGUGCAUGCUGUAGUUGAAACUCCAC
Molecule: ribosomal RNA, 131 nt
Filed under: Pelobates cultripes (western spadefoot toad)
Lineage: Eukaryota; Metazoa; Chordata; Amphibia; Anura; Pelobatidae
Description: SSU_rRNA_eukarya
Source: RNAcentral